RNAcentral lists this small RNA (569 nucleotides) under Pongo abelii (Sumatran orangutan). Its description in RNAcentral is "processed transcript". The record is from RNAcentral. Lineage: Eukaryota; Metazoa; Chordata; Mammalia; Primates; Hominidae.
CGGCUUAGGGAAGAUGGCGGCAGCCGUGGUGCUGGCCGCCGGGUUGCGCGCGGCGCGCAAAGCCGUGGCGGCCACGGGGGCGCGCGGGGGGCAGGUCCGAGGAGCUGCAGGUGUGACUGAUGGGAAUGAAGUGGCCAAGUCCCAGCAGGCAACUCCUGGGGGAGCAGCCCCAACCAUCUUCUCCCGGAUCCUGGACAGGAGCCUCCCAGCUGACAUUCUCUAUGAGGACCAGCAGGCUCCUGUGCACUUCCUGGUCAUUCCUAAGAAGCCCAUUCCUCGGAUUAGCCAGGCUGAAGAAGAAGACCAGCAGCUUCUAGGACACCUACUCCUUGUGGCCAAGAAGACAGCAAAGGCUGAGGGCCUGGGAGAUGGAUACCGACUUGUGAUCAACGAUGGGAAGCUGGGUGCACAAUCUGUGUAUCAUCUGCACAUUCAUGUACUUGGGGGCCGGCAGCUCCAGUGGCCUCCAGGUUGAACCUGCCAACUGACUAAAGGACACCAGACUCUGGAUGCUUGGAUGGAAAGGGAAAAAUGAACCCUGUGAUGCUAAUAAAACUGUUCUCCCUUAA